This 253-nucleotide ribosomal RNA is filed under the name uncultured bacterium. RNAcentral's name for it is "partial 16S ribosomal RNA". It matches the Rfam family "Bacterial small subunit ribosomal RNA", at positions 524 to 776 of the family's 1533-position model. The record is from RNAcentral.
GACGAACCGUCCGAACGUUAUUCGGAAUCACUGGGCUUAAAGAGUGCGUAGGCGGCUUAUCAGGCGGGGUGUGAAAUCCCUCGGCCCAACCGAGGAAUAGCGCUCCGAACCGAUAGGCUUGAGGAGGAUAGAGGUAAGCGGAACAGAUGGUGGAGCGGUGAAAUGCGUUGAUAUCAUCUGGAACACCUGUGGCGAAAGCGGCUCACUGGACCGUUACUGACGCUGAGGUGCGAAAGCUAGGGGAGCAAACGGG